RNAcentral lists this ribosomal RNA (428 nucleotides) under uncultured bacterium. Its description in RNAcentral is "bacterial SSU rRNA". It matches the Rfam family "Bacterial small subunit ribosomal RNA", at positions 354 to 796 of the family's 1533-position model. The record is from RNAcentral.
GUGGGGAAUAUUGGACAAUGGGCCACAAGCCUGAUCCAGCAAUUCUGUGUGCACGAUGAAGGUCUUCGGAUUGUAAAGUGCUUUCAGUUGGGAAGAAGAAAGUGACGGUACCAACAGAAGAAGCGACGGCUAAAUACGUGCCAGCAGCCGCGGUAAUACGUAUGUCGCAAGCGUUAUCCGGAUUUAUUGGGCGUAAAGCGCGUCUAGGCGGAAAAAUAAGUCUGAUGUUAAAAUGCGGGGCUCAACUCCGUAUUGCGUUGGAAACUGUUUUUCUAGAGUACUGGAGAGGUGGGCGGAACUACAAGUGUAGAGGUGAAAUUCGUAGAUAUUUGUAGGAAUGCCGAUGGAGAAGUCAGCUCACUGGACAGAUACUGACGCUAAAGCGCGAAAGCGUGGGGAGCAAACAGGAUUAGAAACCCUAGUAGUCC